This is an unclassified non-coding RNA of Macaca fascicularis (crab-eating macaque), 148 nucleotides long. It matches the Rfam family "Metazoan signal recognition particle RNA". Rfam says of the family: The signal recognition particle (SRP) is a universally conserved ribonucleoprotein. It is involved in the co-translational targeting of proteins to membranes. The record is from Ensembl. Lineage: Eukaryota; Metazoa; Chordata; Mammalia; Primates; Cercopithecidae.
GCCAGGCAUGGUGGCGCAUGCCUGUAGUCCCAGGUGCUCGGGAGGCUGGGGCAGGAGAAUCACUUGAGCCCGGGAGUUGGAGGCUGCAGUGAGCUGUGAUCAUGCCACUGCAUUCCAGCCUGGGCAACAGAGUGAGACCCAGACUCAG